Ruditapes philippinarum (Manila clam) is the source of this 898-nucleotide long non-coding RNA. RefSeq lists it as uncharacterized. The transcript is spliced from 4 exons. NCBI's taxonomy places the organism in Eukaryota, Metazoa, Mollusca, Bivalvia, Venerida, Veneridae. The record is from RefSeq and is a predicted model, not a curated record.
AUAAUGGUUCGCAAACUAUCAUAGAAUCAAAGCGUUUGAAACAAAAAUAUUAUUAUAUAAAUAAUAAAAAACAAGAUUACAAUACAAGUCUUUCAAAAGUAUUCUGGAAUUAGCGGAUGCAAUUUGGUAAAACUUGGUGUUGACUAAUAAGUAGGGCACACCCGCCAUUGUUCGGACCAUCGACAGAAUAACGUUCGUGUUUUUGAGAUUACUCCAUCCAAGACAUAGAUUUGCUGAUGAAUAACAUCGCAAAGAUCUUGGUGUAUUGUCUUCAUACUUGGCCACAACAACCCUUCAAAUAGACCAGACUAAACUAAAUUAACUUGACCACCAUAUUAACAUUCAAGAAGUUCGGCCUACAUGUCAGAUUUAUGAAUGUGAACAGCAGGAUAUCGAUUUAUAGGAUGCUUUAGGGUCAAUGACAAUGAAAUGACGAGAGAUAAAGGCUAAAAUGUGAGACUGUCAAUCUGACUAACCUUGAAGUGAACAAAUGGAAAAAAUGUUCUUUUCAAUAGCAUGGGCUUUUAAGGAAGAGGAAACAGAGGCGCUUAUAUGAUAGAACAGUAAAAGCAGGAGUGAUAAUGAAAGAUACAUGAAGAUGUGUCUUCAUGUCGGAAACACUAAAGAAAUAGAAAUAUUGUGGUUUUAUAAAACUUAAAAGAAAUUGGAAUACCAGGAGACUGCCUGCCCUUUGCAAUGUUGGAUAAAGAGUUCUUAGAUGUGAUGUCGAAAGCCUCAUGAAGCCCAUGACUUAAUCUAAUUAGAAAAAGAAAUGACAUUGAAGAGAAAACUAGUCACCAGUCUUUCACCAAGAACUAGAGAUAACUUUCCAAUAUUUGAAAUAUCAUAAUAUGAGCCGCGUCAUGACAAAACCAACAUAGUAGGUUUGCGACCAGCA